GAUGAACGCUGGCGGCGUGCCUAAUACAUGCAAGUCGAGCGAACAGAUAAGGAGCUUGCUCCUUUGACGUUAGCGGCGGACGGGUGAGUAACACGUGGGUAACCUACCUAUAAGACUGGAAUAACUCCGGGAAACCGGGGCUAAUGCCGGAUAACAUUUAGAACCGCAUGGUUCUAAAGUGAAAGAUGGUUUUGCUAUCACUUAUAGAUGGACCCGCGCCGUAUUAGCUAGUUGGUAAGUUAACGGCUUACCAAGGCAACGAUACGUAUCCGACCUGAGAGGGUGAUAGGCCACACUGGAACUGAGACACGGUCCAGACUCCUACGGGAGGCAGCAGUAGGGAACCUUCCGCAAUGGGCGAAAGCCUGACGGAGCAACGCCGCGUGAGUGAUGAAGGUCUUCGGAUCGUAAAACUCGGUUAUUAGGGAAGAACAAAUGUGUAAGUAACUGUGCACGUCUUGACGGUACCUAAUCAGAAAGCCACGGCUAACUACGUG
Molecule: ribosomal RNA, 497 nt
Filed under: uncultured bacterium
Lineage: Bacteria
Description: partial 16S ribosomal RNA
Rfam family: Bacterial small subunit ribosomal RNA
Source: RNAcentral